This 72-nucleotide transfer RNA is filed under the name Heterocephalus glaber (naked mole-rat). It matches the Rfam family "tRNA". From Rfam's summary of the family: Transfer RNA (tRNA) molecules are approximately 80 nucleotides in length. The record is from Rfam by way of RNAcentral. Lineage: Eukaryota; Metazoa; Chordata; Mammalia; Rodentia; Bathyergidae.
GGGAAUGUAGCUCAGUGGUUGAGCACUUGUCUGUCUUGUGUGAGGACCUGGGUUCAACCCCCAGCUUGUUUA